GUUGCAUAGAGCUGUUGAAAUGAUCAAGAAAUCAAGUGGAAGAGUAUCCAUGGAGCGCCUACUACAUCCACAGCUUUGGCUAUAGCAUCGCCCAUCACAGGACUAUCAAUGAAAACGACAGUAAUGAUAUUGAUAGAUAUCAUUCAUUCACUGCCUUUUCUGUGCCGGGCAUUCUUUUGGACAAUCCUCACAGUAAGCCUUUUAUCUCCAACUGACAGCUAAGGAAAUAGACUACAAGAGGUUGACUAACUUGCCCAAAGCUACGGGACUAGUUAAGGGGCAAGGCUGGGAUUCAGGCUCAGCUUAGUGCCAAGCCCCAAAGCCAGGAAACACGUGAACACAGGAACCGACCAAGUCAAUAGAGAAAUGUAUGGAAUUGGACGCUCAGGUUUGUGGUUCUGACAGUGAAUCUCACGGAAGUGGUAAAGGGAGAAAGUCUGUGGAAGCUCAAGUGGUGACAGAAGUUUCUGGAAGGAGUUGAGGCUGGAUCUGGAUUUAGGUGAGAAAAAAGGCCCUGAGAAGGAAAAUGACUCAACUCAAGGACACCCAGCCAGUUGGUGAAGAAGUUGACACCAUGUUCUACAGGAAUAAAACUGACUCCGUGGAACUGUUGUGAAGGUGUACAGAAGGUCCCGGGGUCAGACAUUAGGCGAGAGUCUGGGUGCACCAGGGCAGGGCAGAUGCUGCGAUGAGCAUGACUGUUGCUUCACUGAAUCCUCCUUGGCGUCUUCUAGCCACUUGGCUAUGGGCCGACAGGGAAACAAGCUUGUAGUGAUCAGAAGCUUCCUGUUGGAGGAAAGACACCUAGGAACACCUCCUGGCAAUUCAGGGUAAAACUUCACAGGAUAUCCAC
RNAcentral lists this long non-coding RNA (853 nucleotides) under Equus caballus (horse). Its description in RNAcentral is "lncRNA (ENSECAG00000028510.2)". The record is from RNAcentral. Lineage: Eukaryota; Metazoa; Chordata; Mammalia; Perissodactyla; Equidae.